RNAcentral lists this ribosomal RNA (743 nucleotides) under uncultured bacterium. RNAcentral's name for it is "bacterial SSU rRNA". It matches the Rfam family "Bacterial small subunit ribosomal RNA", at positions 8 to 796 of the family's 1533-position model. The record is from RNAcentral.
AGAGUUUGAUCCUGGCUCAGAACGAACGCUGGCGGCAGGCCUAACACAUGCAAGUCGAGCGCCCCCGCAAGGGGGAGCGGCGGACGGGUGAGUAACGCGUGGGAAUUUUCCUCAAGGUACGGAACAACUCAGGGAAACUUGGGCUAAUACCGUAUGAUGUCUAGCGACCAAAGAUUUAUCGCCUUGGGAUAAGCCCGCGUCAGAUUAGGUAGUUGGUGGGGUAACGGCCUACCAAGCCUGCGAUCUGUAGCUGGUCUGAGAGGACGAUCAGCCACACUGGGACUGAGACACGGCCCAGACUCCUACGGGAGGCAGCAGUGGGGAAUCUUGCGCAAUGGGCGAAAGCCUGACGCAGCCAUGCCGCGUGAAUGAUGAAGGUCUUAGGAUUGUAAAGUUCUUUCGCUCGUGACGAUGAUGACGGUAACGAGAGAAGAAGCCCCGGCUAACUUCGUGCCAGCAGCCGCGGUAAUACGAAGGGGGCUAGCGUUGUUCGGAAUUACUGGGCGUAAAGCGCGCGUAGGCGGUUUUGCAAGCCAGAGGUGAAAUGCCUGAGCUCAACUUAGGAAUUGCCUUUGGGACUGCGAGGCUUUGAGGACUGGAGAGGUGAGUGGAAUUCCCAGUGUAGAGGUGAAAUUCGUAGAUAUUGGGAAGAACACCAGUGGCGAAGGCGGCUCACUGGCCAGUUUCUGACGCUGCAGCGCGAAAGCGUGGGGAUCAAACAGGAUUAGAUACCCUGGUAGUCC